Pogona vitticeps (central bearded dragon) is the source of this 475-nucleotide non-coding RNA. The record is from the annotation of a RefSeq genome assembly. NCBI's taxonomy places the organism in Eukaryota, Metazoa, Chordata, Lepidosauria, Squamata, Agamidae.
GAAUCUUUGCCAGGCCAGUGAGCAGAGGCCACAUUUGCAUGAAGGGGCUGUUCUCUGGUCCUGCAGCGUUUAAAAGAAGGAGGUGGAGAUUCCGUCCAGGUAUCUUCCUGAAGCAAAGUCAGACACCUCCGGAGAGAGCUCACCAUGGCCUGGGCUGUGUUUUUUCUCGCCCUCCUCAGCUUCCUCUCAGGUAUCCGUUCACAGCUGACAAUGAAUCCGCCUGCCUCGGCCUCUGUGUCUCCGGGAGAAACUGUGACGCUCUCCUGCACCAGAAGAAGUGAUGAGAGCUGGGAUUCCGUCUCCUGGAUUCAGAAGAGACCUGAGCAGGCCCCUCGUUUUGUGCUCCACGGUUCCAGCACCCGGGGGGAAGGGAUCCCACAUCGAUUCAAUGGCUCAGCCUCUGGGAACACUGGCCGUUUAACCAUAGCUAAUGCCCAGCCUGAAGAUGCGGGAGAUUAUUACUGCGCUGAAUGGU